This is a non-coding RNA of Oryctolagus cuniculus (rabbit), 3761 nucleotides long. NCBI's taxonomy places the organism in Eukaryota, Metazoa, Chordata, Mammalia, Lagomorpha, Leporidae. The record is from RefSeq and is a predicted model, not a curated record.
GCAAAGGUCCACUCGGGGCGCACAGGGCCCCCAGGCAACAGCACCAGGACAGGCAGCCCUGGGGCUGGGGGAGGGGGGCUUGAGUCACCUGACCCAGCAAGCCCUGACGCCCUCCUCGCCGCCUGGCCCUCCUGCGGGUGGGGUCUUAACUGGAUGUUGAUGCCUGGCACCGAGGAGCCCCAGCAGCCCGGGCGUGGUGGUGUUUCACCCCCAGGUCACUCACCUGUGCACCGCGGGAAGGCCCGUUCUGAGAGCCAUCCAGGGACGGGGUCGGGGGACAAGUCCUCCUCCCGAAGCCACACCUGUAUCCACCCAGGACAACGUCCCCGCUGUGGAAGCCGUUGUGACCUCUCCUGUGCCGCCAGCACCCACAGUGGCCUGACCAGCCUGGAGGAUGAGGACUGGGGCAUGUGUCACCCCAUUGAGGGGACAGCUUUGAGAAGAAGUGGGACUUGGGCCCCCUGCGGGGAGGCUGCAGGUCCCUGGCCCUGGCCAGUCUGAGAGCUGCCACGCCGGCAGGUGCACACGCCUGGGGCUUGCUUCCCGCAGCCCGUCACGGAGGUGGUGAAGACGUCACCUCCAACCUCAGCCCGGCUGAGGGCUGCCCUUGGGCCUUCAUGCAAAGGUCACCAGAAAGGCUGUGAACACUCAGCUCCAAGCCACAGACCAAGGCCGCUCUCGUCCACCUCCUCCUGGACGCGCAGUCCAACAAGGACGUGAUGAUGGGGGGGCCAGUGUGGGUACAGAGGGUGGUGCAUUGAGGCUGCGGCCAUGCUGCAGGGGGACGGAGUCAGGGCUAGGAGAGGGGACAGCAUGGGCAAAGGAGGUGAUGGUGCAACGUGGGCUUGGGCAGUGGUGAUUGGGGACGGAUGACCGGUCAGUUCCAACGCGUGGUUUUCUGAGCUGUAAACCAGAAGUGACGACUGUGCUACCCGAGGGGGCUGCUCGUAGCAGGUGCAGCAGGACACACAGGCAGCACAGCGGGCCCAGGCACCUGGUGUGGGAGAAUGCCCGGCCAGGUAUUUUUUCCCUGAAGAGGAGAGGGCUGUGGCUGCUCCCACCCCCACUGUCCCCCCACCCGGAGCCUCUCCCCGCCCCAGGUGCAUGGGAGGCACCUUAAGAGGUUUGUCACACGAGCAAGUGGUCAUGGUCUCUGUAGUGCCGGCUCUUUGUGGCAAGCCGCGUGGGUUUUCUGAGCUGGGAGCGACCCUGUAACUGCAGGGCUGCGGCGGAAUCCCUGGGAGGACGAGCAGCCCCUUGGUUAUCUAUCACCCCCGUGGCGAAAGGUCGUCGGGAGACUUGUUGAUUAAAAGUGCUGCGUGGGCUGGGGGCAACGCUGCCCUUCCGAGUGAUUAAUUAGCAUCCUGCCCCUCCCUGCCGUGGGAAGGAGGCACUGAAUAUUAAUGAGCCUUCAAAACCCUUCACGCCCAAGCACUGGGUUCUUGCUGCUGGACUCGCCCCUUCUCUCAGGGUCUGCGAAGCUGGGGUCCCACUGCUGCCCUAUUCACUGCCCGCAGCCACGUGCGCCGCCCCACCCCAGCCGGGAAGCAGGCAGAAUGCGCCUUUUGACAGUUUUGUUUUGCAGCUCGGUGCUUUCUGGGAGGAGGAGGACAAUGCGGGACCCCCGGGGGUGAGGGCUCAGCUUUCCCUAAUAAGAUGGCAGCAGAGAGAUGACACAGAUAGAAUGAAGGGGCCGCUUCAAAGAGAGAACCGAAAGAAAGCCACGCACAGGGAGGCCGAGUGCAGAGGCCCACAGGGCAGGCUCCCCGCGCGGCUCCCGCUGGGCAGCGAUGACCACAGCCUGGGAAAGCGCCAAUUAGAAACGCGAGCCCCAUGCCGGGGCUGCGGACCCGGCGACAGCCACGCGGGAGCAGCUGCUCCAGGCUUGCAGGAAGAUUGGGGGGGCGGGGGCGCGGGCUGCAGGAGACGGGGAGCGGGGUGGGGGACCUCAGUUCUGCUUGCUGCUCUGCCUGGAUGGGCGGGAGCAAAACCCGCUCCCUGGAGCUUUUCCCGUUUCUUGCCCCUGUGAUGGCUUUCCCUCCGCACCUGCUACUCUGAAGUGGCCACCUCCCUGCCCGACAGCUCCACGAGCGGACCUCUGGCUGCCAGGCCAGUGGUGCCCAGCACGGAGCCCGCACACCGCCGUGUCAACAGAUCACAAAGGGUGAUGGCAUCACUCACUCCUAAGUAAUCACCAGCAACCUCCGUUAUCUCUGGAAAUGAGGGUGGCGAUGGGGGGAGGGGCCAGGCCAGCGUCCAGGGCCGUCCAUCACUGCCUAACAGAUGUGUUGACGGCCGGUUGACCACACAGACCGUCCUCUUCAGCUCCAGGCGUGCUGGUCACCUUUUCUCUCCAAGCAUCGCUGAUAUGUAUGACACCCGGGCACCCACCCCACCCACACUGGCCUGAGGCCUUUGAUCUCUCCGACUCUGGCCGGGAGGCAGCAAUGGCAGCUCCACCCCACGCGCUGUGAGCACAACAUCCCCGAAUUUGUCCCAGACGGUCACCCCGUCCAUACCUGCACACGCACGCGCACGCACGUGCACACACACAGCCAUAGCGAGCAAUCAGCCUCUAUCCAACAGGUGCGUGCCCCACCUGUGACCCUGACCUGAAAGCUGAGGCUCAGAGAGGUUAAGUGACUUCCUGGGGUCACACAGCUAAAAAUCCGGCAGACUCUGGAAGACGGCGCAUGUGCCAGGGCCGACGUACUGGCAACCGUCUGCUCCUAAGUCUGGAAGUUCAUCCACGAGACCCACUCUCCAGCGGUAAGCCAGCUCUCCCUCUGGUUUGCUGCCCUGUGUCUGGCUCCCACCCGCCCAGGGACAGCAGCUGGCCGGUGCCCCGCUCUGGACCCUGACCCCCCGCAGCCCCGGCUCCAGCACAGCUCUGGGCCACCCCUCGUCUUGCCAGAUGUUCUAGUCUCUCCAGACCAUCAGGCUGGACUUCCCCAGCCACCUAGUGCUGUCCUCGGCCUGCUUAAUUAAAUCACAAUUCUCUACGGGAGGCAACGGAAUUACCCAAUUACGCCCUCCUCACCUGAUUUCUGUCAUUAACAACGUGACUUGGUGACUCGGUGUUGACCGGGCUCACCCAGGGCAGGUACCUGGCUCAGGAUGGUCAGCCCAGGACCCUGCCCUGUGCUGCCCGAGGCCCCCUCGGCUGCCAUCCAACUUGUCCGGGUGGGCACCACACCCAUCCCAGGGUCCCUGCCUCACACGGGCCCCAGGGCUCUCCGUGGCACCCCCAGUCUGCCUCUGUCAUCUGCAGGUGUGUUGUGUGCAUCCAUCCUGCAGCUCUGUGAGCUGGCAGGGGCCCGGAGCCCGGCUUCGCCCCGACCAAGGAGGGGCCUGGCUGAUUCCCCCCACCACCCCCGCCCAUCUCUGUCCUGGCCCAGCCCAGACCCCCCUCAGAGAAGGGGUCAUGCAUAUUUGUGCAAAUAGGGGAGGCCAUAGUGGGUUAAACUGCUGCCCACAGUGCUGGCAUCCCACAUGGGCACCAGUUCAAGUCCUGGCUGCUCCACUUCCAAUCCAGCUCCCUGGUGAUGGCCAGAGAAAGCAGUGGAAGAUGGCCCAAGUGCUUGGGCCCCUGCUGCCCAUGGGGGAGACCCGGAUGAAGCUCCUGGCUCCUGGUUCAGUCUGGCUCAGCCCUGGCUGUUGUAGCCAUUUGGGGAGUGAGCUAGUGGACGGAAGACCUCUCUGUCUCUCCCUCUCUCUCUGUAACUCUGCCUUUCAAAUAAACCAAUAAAUCUUAAAAAGAA